UUUCGUCUGCUCUUGUUAUUCUGUUCGGAUCUGGGAUGAGAGCCUGCAAACCCUAGUCCCACUCGCUUCACUCUUCUUGCCCGCGGCAGGCCCCAAAUCCAGCUCCCCUCUCCCACUCCCACCGCCGGCCGGCCGCCACCGUCCACGCCAAUGGCCUCGCCUUCGCCUCCCCCCACGCCGCCCACCGCCGACGAGCCUCCGCCUCCGCCUACUCCUGACGCAGACGCCCCCUCCCCGCCCACGGACGCCGAAUCCCCCCCGCCGCUCCCGGAGGCCGACGCCCCUGCCGCGCCGCCCCCGGACGCCGGCUCCCCGCCGCCGCAGCAGCAGCCGCACCUCCCGGACGGCAUCCUGGAGGACAUCUUCCUGCGCCUGACAACAGCGGGGGACGUCGCGCGGGCGUCGGCCGCGUGCGCCUCCUUCCGGGCCAUCACGUCGGCCCUCCCGUUCCGGCGCCGCUUCCGCGCGCUCCACAGGGCCCCGGUGCUCGGCUUCCUCCGGGAGGACUUCUACGCCGCCCGCCCGCCGCACCCCUCCGCCCCGGCGGCCCGGGCCCUCAAGCGGGCCGCCGACUUCGCCUUCUCCUUCCUCCCCGACGACUCCGCCUGCUGGAGCCCCCGCGACGCGCGCGACGGCCGCGUGCUCUUCUCCGCGGUCCCCAGCUCCCACGGCCGCGGCAGCUUCGCCGACGCCACCUCCACCACCUUCGUCGACCUCGUCGUCGCCGACCCGCUCUCCCGCCGCUGCGUCCGCGUGCCGCCCGUGCCCGACGACCUGGCCGCCCCCGUCCUGCGGUGGGGCAUGCUCGACUUCGAGCCCUUCCUCGCGCCGGCCAGCGCCGAGGACCUGCGCGACGAGGGCGCGCCCUUCAGGGUCAUCGGCAAGGUGCUGUGCGAGGACAGGGUCGCCGUGUUCGCCUUCUCCUCGCGCACCGGCGAGUGGCGCAGCCACGGCUCGAGCGAGCUGUCCAACGACUUUGCGCUGGACGCGCUGUAUGAGCGGCGUCACUACGUGCAGGGCUGCUUCUGCUGGCUGCUGGAGUGGAUGGAAAAGCUGCUCAUGCUCGACGCCGGCGCGAUGGAGUUCUUGAUUGUCGACCUCCCGCCCGGCAAUGACGAGAGGCGGUUCGCCAUUUUGGAGGCAGGGCAAGGCAGGAUUGGGCUGCUGAAUAUUGGGAGGAACACAUUGGACUUGUACUAUAAGGCCUGGCCUGGCAAACGCAAUGGCGAGUGGCAACACGAAACGAAAGAGCACCCACUGCCUGACUAUCACUGGCGCAUCAUAGGUUCUGAUGAGGAGUACUUGCUCCUCAGAGGGAUCUCACUUGAUUGGCCCUGGUUUGGGAGCGCUUCAUCGGAGAGUCCGGAUAUUGAGUAUUUUGCACUGGAGCUCAAGGCAUUGCAACUCGAGAGGAUGUACGUGUCCAAGCACAAAAUGUUGCAUGCUCACCUGUAUAGGGGCUACCCGCCGCAGAUCUCGGCCCCAACUCUAUGAACUGGUAAACUUGCUACCGUAUCAUCCUCUUGUUUUCAGCAGUUGGGGGGACAGAGUUUCCGUUGCUUUGAAAGCCAUAUUUGUUAUUCCCUCUGUCCACAAAAUUACAUUGUAUUAGACCAUUAGCCAUGGGCACAAACCACACAAUAACUAUUGGAUAGGCUAAAAGUAUCAUCAUUCCUUUCUCUUGCUCCAAAGUUCCCCUGCAUGUUUUCUUUCCAAGGAGGCAAGGUUUGCUGGUUCAUGGGAGUAAUAGUUUUGGGCAUAAUAGGAAAUCUGGAGGAGAAGUGCCUACAAAAUUGUCAACUGAGCACAUUGAAGGACAAAAAUUCCCUAAGUGAACUACAUUUGUUUCUAAGGGAGUAAUUAACUAGCUGUGUGCACUUCUCCUUUUUCUUUUCUUUAGUUCCUACAUGGGCAUUUUCAUGGCUGCAACACAUGUAACACACAAAUCCAUGCCAAAGAUAUAUCAACAAAAAUGGUGCUGGUGCCAUUUACAUACUCUGUUUUUUUUUUAAUAUAGAGCAGUAGGAGCCUCUCCUGCUGUAACUUCUCAAAAAAGAAGGUUAAUAUUGUUUUUGCAAACAUACAAGCACCACCAUUGUCUUGUUGUAACUCAUUAUUGUUAAUGAUUCAGUACUGUAUGACAUCCAUGGUUGAGAACUGCUAAUUUGCACUACUGGUUUCAGGUUUACAACAUUGCUAUCACUUUUACAUCGCUGCCAUACAGCCUAUGACAACUAUUAUCUCAUUAACUCUUUUAGUAAAUUUGAUAUGGUAGAUGAAAACAACUUGGUAUUAUUGCUUCACUUAUCCGGUAGUGAGCAAAUGGAGAGAGUUUUAAUCGAUUUUAAAGCAAUGUUCAGGAUAUUGGGGCGUGUUUGGUUUCCUGGGCCGCACCCGCCUCGCAUCCGCCGUGCAAAAUCGAAUGUGUUUGGUGUCCUGUGCGGCGUGCUCAGCCUGGCCCGCGGAUGCAAAAGGAGCCCUCUCAGCCAGGCUGAGAGGAACGCAGAAAUCGGCCGUAUCUCCGAGCCUGGCCCGCGUUUGCAUCCUUUUCCUCCCGUGUCUUCUUUUUCUCUUCUCUCUCACGCAUCAGAUCGAGCACCCAACCCACCACCGCCGCCACCGUCGAAGCUCCCUCCCCCACCACCGGUCCGGGCUCCCUCGUCCGCCACCCAUACAGGCUCCGUCGCCGGUGCUCCUCCACGCCGACGCCGGGGGCCUCGCCCACCACCGGUCCGAGCUCCCUCUCCGCCUCGCCUUGGCAUCGUCGGGUUCCACAGCCGCCUCGUCCACCACCGGUCCGAGCUCCCUCGCCGGUGUUCCACCACACCACGCCGGGGGCCACGCCGUCUGCCACUAAUCGAGAGGAAGAAGGGGGAGGGGAGCACGUGCCCGCUGCGAGCCGCAAAGGGAGCCGCGUUUCUGCCCCGUCGCUCCCAAUCCUUCUGGUGAGCGUAGUCGAGUCUUGCCGUUGGCGUCUCCUACCUGCUGCCCAUCUACGCCCCAGCCAACUCGUCGCCCUCCACCUCGUUUGUUCAGAUUUUAGUUCAUACUUGUUUGGUUCAGAUUUUGAUAUAUAACACUGAAACUUGAGGUUGGUUCAGACUUGUUUCUUUAGUUCAGACAAGUUUUUUGAUAAAUAAAACUGAAACUUGAGUUUUGUUCAGAUUUUAGUUCAGACUUGUUUUACAGGUUCUCUUUGUCCAUGGAAUGAUUCAAAUUCAUUUGAAAUGAUUCAAAUUGGAAGAGAAAAAAGUUCCCAAAAUUCACAAUAUUAAGCUCAAAUGCAGCCUACCAAACAACAUCUUUUGUAUAUAGCAUCCCUCAUGCACUAAUAUUAUGCAGCCCACCAAACACACAUCUCAGCUCCUCUUUGCAUCACCUCAACCAGGCCACGCUCAACCAGGUUCCCCCAUGCGAUGCAGGCUAGAGACACCCAGGCAACCAAACACGCCCUUGGUAACUGGUACCAUCUCGGUUGGGUGCUGAAUAGGGAUUAAUCGGUGAAUUGGACAUUUAACUGAAUUUAUCGGUAGGUUAACUAGGGCCAUACCAAACAUAUAGCUAAAUAUUUGUGUUAGCCAUAUUCUGCUUGUCCCUCUACAAUCCUUUUUGUCUUUUCUUUCUGCAUAAGUCACAUUUGGGCUGUCCUCACCGCUGCUAAGCUGAAGCCCAUUCAGCCCACUAGGGUUGCAGCGGUGUGUCUGUAAAAGAACCCCCUGUGCAGCCACUUUCCUUCUCUCUUCCUUCUUCCCCUUCUCCAGCCGCCACCUUCUUCCUCUCUUCUCUUUCCCUUCCCAGAGCAUGUUCCCAGCUCCUGCUUCCUCUCAUCCUCUGUCUCACACCGCCUAUCAUCUCUCUGCUUCUCUCCACCCUGAGGAAGCUGCGCUGCCCGUGGGAACUGACUGGUGGCUGCUUGAAUCGUGAACGGGAGAGGAGAGGAGGAUGAGGGGGAGCCCGAAAGUCCACAAAGGGCAAUGGUCUCAGGUUGGAAAUUGAGUGGUGGCGUGUUGUCUAUCCUUGGUCCUUGAAUGUGGAGAAUUGGCUACAGAACUGUGAACAGAGCACAUUGAAGGACAAAAGACUAGAGCACAUUGAAGGCUACAUAUCCUUCGUCCUGUGUAUUGCCGCUGGAGAAGUGGUGAAUGAGUUGGUGUGGUUCUCUGACGGCAAGAAGCGUGUCAGUGGAGGCCGGAAGUUUGCCGGUGGCGGCAGAUGGUGGAAGUCAGGAUGGCCGCUGCGAAGGGAUGCCCAACCUUAUGUGCCAGUUGGGCGUUAUCGGGCGGCAGCGAUCUUUCUUGAGCUGCGUCUUGACCCACAGUUUGUCUACAUCGACUUACGUUGGCCGUGUUUGCUGGCUUAGGUCAUUCUAUAUAUUCUCACCAUCCUGAAGCAUGUUUUGGAGAGUCCGCUUUGGCGCUGAAGUUUGUAGUAAUUUGCAGGAUACUAGAUCCAACUUGAUAAGUGUGGCAACCCUGGUUUUUAACCCCACUGCUGGCAGCAUGUGAGACCAGCUCAGCUGGUGAGCUAACAUUGAGAGAGUUUAUGCCCAGUUCAGUGGUUUGUGGCUCUGGUUUCUUUCCGACCUGGUGCAGUGGAGGCCGUUUAUUCAUGGGCAGAGUCCCAACUCCACCAAGUCAUGGAGAUGACCUUUUGGUAGCCAGCGUGUAUGCAUGUAUUAGAGUAUGUAUUAUGUAUGUAACCUGGAUGGCCUUGUUGUAUCUUGUUGUUGUUGUUGUUGUUGUUGUUGUUGAGAAACAGCCUUGUUGUAACCUUUUUGUUGUUGUUGUUGUUGAGAAACAACCUUGUUGUAUCUUUUUGUUGUUGUUGAGAAACAGCCUUGUUGUAUCUUGGUGUGUUAAUGCAGUUUAGCGACAAUCUAUCGUA
Molecule: RNA transcript, 4884 nt
Organism: Triticum aestivum (bread wheat)
Lineage: Eukaryota; Viridiplantae; Streptophyta; Magnoliopsida; Poales; Poaceae
Exons: 2
Source: RefSeq, a predicted model, not a curated record